AGUGAACGCUGGCGGUAGGCCUAACACAUGCAAGUCGAACGGCAGCACAGUAAGAGCUUGCUCUUACGGGUGGCGAGUGGCGGACGGGUGAGGAAUACAUCGGAAGCUACUUUUUCGUGGGUGAUAACGGAGGGAAACUUACGCUAAUACCGUAUACGACCCACGGGUGAAAGCAGGGGAUCUUCGGACCUUGCGCGAUUGAAUGAGCCGAUGUCGGAUUAGCUAGUUGGCGGGGUAAAGGCCCACCAAGGCGACGAUCCGUAGCUGGUCUGAGAGGAUGAUCAGCCACACUGGAACUGAGACACGGUCCAGACUCCUACGGGAGGCAGCAGUGGGGAAUAUUGGACAAUGGGCGCAAGCCUGAUCCAGCCAUACCGCGUGGGUGAAGAAGGCCUUCGGGUUGUAAAGCCCUUUUGUUGGGAAAGAAGAGCAGCAGGUUAAUACCCCGCUGUUAUGACGGUACCCAAAGAAUAAGCACCGGCUAACUUCGUG
Molecule: ribosomal RNA, 492 nt
Filed under: uncultured bacterium
Lineage: Bacteria
Description: partial 16S ribosomal RNA
Rfam family: Bacterial small subunit ribosomal RNA
Source: RNAcentral